AUGGCAUGGUGUGGACACUUACGGAUGAAGUCUUUGAGCCUCUCCCAAGUUUCAUGGAACAUGUCCCCUUCUAAUUGGAAAAAAAUAGUUAUGGCUUUUCUCAUUUU
Elaeis guineensis (African oil palm) is the source of this 107-nucleotide small nucleolar RNA. The record is from RefSeq and is a predicted model, not a curated record. Lineage: Eukaryota; Viridiplantae; Streptophyta; Magnoliopsida; Arecales; Arecaceae.